Molecule: transfer RNA, 77 nt
Filed under: Selenihalanaerobacter shriftii
Lineage: Bacteria; Bacillati; Bacillota; Clostridia; Halanaerobiales; Halobacteroidaceae
Description: tRNA_Arg_TCT
Rfam family: tRNA
About the family: Transfer RNA (tRNA) molecules are approximately 80 nucleotides in length. Their secondary structure includes four short double-helical elements and three loops (D, anti-codon, and T loops).
Source: RNAcentral
GCGCCUGUAGCUCAGGUGGAUAGAGCAAUGGACUUCUAAUCCAUGAGUCGGGGGUUCGAAUCCUCCCAGGCGCGCCA